RNAcentral lists this ribosomal RNA (734 nucleotides) under uncultured eukaryote. RNAcentral describes it as "bacterial SSU rRNA". It matches the Rfam family "Eukaryotic small subunit ribosomal RNA", at positions 666 to 1426 of the family's 1831-position model. The record is from RNAcentral.
GGGCGUGGGUGCUGGUAGGACUCUCCCUUCCUUCUACACAGCCGCCCCUGCUGUUCACUCUGCUGGGCGUGGGCUAUCUAUAUCAUUUACUUUGAAAGCAUUAGGGUGGUUAAUGCUCGCUUAUGCCCGAAUGCAUUAACAUGGAAUAAUAAAAUAGGACUUCUGUUCUAUUUUGUUGGUCUCUAGAACUGAAAUAAUGAUUGAUAGGGAUAGUUGGGGGUGCUAUGAUUCAGGGGACAUUCGUGAAUUUCUUGGAUACACUGAACACUAACUACUGCGAAAGCAUUCACCACGGAUGUGUUCUCUAAUCAAGAACGAAAGUUGGGGGAUCGAAGACGAUCUGAGACCCUCGUAGUCUCAACCAUAAACUAUACCGAGUAAGGAUCAGUGGAGGUGUUAUUUUGACUCCAUUGGCACUCUAUGAGAAAUCAAAGUCUUUGGGUUCCCCGGGGAGUAUAGUGGCAAGGGUGAAAAUCAAAGAAAUUGACGGAAGGGCACCCCCCGGAGGGGAGCCCGCGGCUUAAUUUGACUCAACACGGGAAAAAUCUCCAGGUCCAGACAUAGUGAGAAUAGACAGAGAGAAGAUCUUUCUUGAUUAUAUGGGUGGUGGUGCAUGGCCGUUGUUAGUUGGUGGAGUGAUUAGUCGGGUUAAUUCCGUUAACGAACGAGACCUCGACCUACUAAAUAGAGGUCGAAGCCUUUGGCAGGCGGUUACUUUUUAGAGGGACCAUCGG